RNAcentral lists this ribosomal RNA (499 nucleotides) under uncultured bacterium. RNAcentral describes it as "bacterial SSU rRNA". It matches the Rfam family "Bacterial small subunit ribosomal RNA", at positions 95 to 606 of the family's 1533-position model. The record is from RNAcentral.
GCGGCGGACGGGUGAGUAACGCGUGGGUAACCUACCCCAAAGUCCGGGAUAACAGCGGGAAACCGCUGCUAAUACCGGAUGCCUUUACCUUGGGGCAUCUUGAGGUAAAGAAAGGUAACGCUUUGGGAUGGGCCCGCGUCCCAUUAGCUAGUUGGUGAGGUAACGGCUCACCAAGGCGACGAUGGGUAGCCGGCCUGAGAGGGUGGACGGCCACACUGGGACUGAGACACGGCCCAGACUCCUACGGGAGGCAGCAGUAGGGAAUAUUGCGCAAUGGACGGAAGUCUGACGCAGCGACGCCGCGUGAGCGAUGAAGGUCUUCGGAUCGUAAAGCUCUGUCCUUGGGGAAGAAGGCGAAAGCUUGACGGUACCCAAGAAGAAAGCCCCGGCUAACUACGUGCCAGCAGCCGCGGUAAUACGUAGGGGGCGAGCGUUGUCCGGAAUUACUGGGCGUAAAGGGUGCGUAGGCGGCCCUUUAAGUCGGAUGUGAAAGCCCGCG